Molecule: ribosomal RNA, 778 nt
Filed under: Enterobacter cloacae
Lineage: Bacteria; Pseudomonadati; Pseudomonadota; Gammaproteobacteria; Enterobacterales; Enterobacteriaceae
Description: bacterial SSU rRNA
Rfam family: Bacterial small subunit ribosomal RNA
Source: RNAcentral
AAAUUGAAGAGUUUGAUCAUGGCUCAGAUUGAACGCUGGCGGCAGGCCUAACACAUGCAAGUCGAACGGUAGCACAGAGAGCUUGCUCUCGGGUGACGAGUGGCGGACGGGUGAGUAAUGUCUGGGAAACUGCCUGAUGGAGGGGGAUAACUACUGGAAACGGUAGCUAAUACCGCAUAACGUCGCAAGACCAAAGAGGGGGACCUUCGGGCCUCUUGCCAUCAGAUGUGCCCAGAUGGGAUUAGCUAGUAGGUGGGGUAACGGCUCACCUAGGCGACGAUCCCUAGCUGGUCUGAGAGGAUGACCAGCCACACUGGAACUGAGACACGGUCCAGACUCCUACGGGAGGCAGCAGUGGGGAAUAUUGCACAAUGGGCGCAAGCCUGAUGCAGCCAUGCCGCGUGUAUGAAGAAGGCCUUCGGGUUGUAAAGUACUUUCAGCGGGGAGGAAGGUGUUGUGGUUAAUAACCACAGCAAUUGACGUUACCCGCAGAAGAAGCACCGGCUAACUCCGUGCCAGCAGCCGCGGUAAUACGGAGGGUGCAAGCGUUAAUCGGAAUUACUGGGCGUAAAGCGCACGCAGGCGGUCUGUCAAGUCGGAUGUGAAAUCCCCGGGCUCAACCUGGGAACUGCAUUCGAAACUGGCAGGCUGGAGUCUUGUAGAGGGGGGUAGAAUUCCAGGUGUAGCGGUGAAAUGCGUAGAGAUCUGGAGGAAUACCGGUGGCGAAGGCGGCCCCCUGGACAAAGACUGACGCUCAGGUGCGAAAGCGUGGGGAGCA